ACGAGUUAGGGCCUCUGGCCCGACCUCCAACCCUUUGUCUCCAAAACCUCGUUGCCUCGGGGGUGGCCCUGCCUCACAGCGGGUCCCCCGGAGGACCACUAUAACUCUGCAUCUGAAUGUCGUCUGAGUAAGAUUUUUAAUGAAAUCA
RNAcentral lists this unclassified non-coding RNA (148 nucleotides) under uncultured Capnodiales. RNAcentral's name for it is "sequence contains ITS1". Lineage: Eukaryota; Fungi; Ascomycota; Dothideomycetes; Capnodiales. The record is from RNAcentral.